Molecule: ribosomal RNA, 878 nt
Filed under: uncultured bacterium
Lineage: Bacteria
Description: bacterial SSU rRNA
Rfam family: Bacterial small subunit ribosomal RNA
Source: RNAcentral
UGGCUCAGGAUGAACGCUGGCGGCGUGCCUAAUACAUGCAAGUCGAACGCUUCACUUCGGUGAAGAGUGGCGAACGGGUGAGUAAUACAUAAGUAACCUGGCAUCUACAGGGGGAUAACUGAUGGAAACGUCAGCUAAGACCGCAUAGGUGUAGAGAUCGCAUGAACUCUAUAUGAAAAGUGCUACGGGACUGGUAGAUGAUGGACUUAUGGCGCAUUAGCUGGUUGGUAGGGUAACGGCCUACCAAGGCGACGAUGCGUAGCCGACCUGAGAGGGUGACCGGCCACACUGGGACUGAGACACGGCCCAGACUCCUACGGGAGGCAGCAGUAGGGAAUUUUCGGCAAUGGGGGAAACCCUGACCGAGCAACGCCGCGUGAAGGAAGAAGUAAUUCGUUAUGUAAACUUCUGUCAUAGAGGAAGAAUGGUGGAUAUAGGGAAUGAUAUCCAAGUGACGGUACUCUAUAAGAAAGCCACGGCUAACUACGUGCCAGCAGCCGCGGUAAUACGUAGGUGGCGAGCGUUAUCCGGAAUUAUUGGGCGUAAAGAGGGAGCAGGCGGCACUAAGGGUCUGUGGUGAAAGAUCGAAGCUUAACUUCGGUAAGCCAUGGAAACCGUAGAGCUAGAGUGUGUGAGAGGAUCGUGGAAUUCCAUGUGUAGCGGUGAAAUGCGUAGAUAUAUGGAGGAACACCAGUGGCGAAGGCGACGAUCUGGCGCAUAACUGACGCUCAGUCCCGAAAGCGUGGGGAGCAAAUAGGAUUAGAUACCCUAGUAGUCCACGCCGUAAACGAUGAGUACUAAGUGUUGGGAGUCAAAUCUCAGUGCUGCAGUUAACGCAAUAAGUACUCCGCCUGAGUAGUACGUUCGCAAGAAUGAAA